RNAcentral lists this ribosomal RNA (253 nucleotides) under uncultured bacterium. RNAcentral describes it as "partial 16S ribosomal RNA". It matches the Rfam family "Bacterial small subunit ribosomal RNA", at positions 524 to 776 of the family's 1533-position model. The record is from RNAcentral.
UACGGAGGGGGCUAGCGUUGUUCGGAAUUACUGGGCGUAAAGCGUACGUAGGCGGCUUUGUAAGUUAGAGGUGAAAGCCCAGGGCUUAACCCUGGAAUUGCCUUUAAGACUGCAUCGCUAGAAUUGUGGAGAGGUAAGUGGAAUUCCGAGUGUAGAGGUGAAAUUCGUAGAUAUUCGGAAGAACACCAGUGGCGAAGGCGACUUACUGGACACAUAUUGACGCUGAGGUGCGAAAGCGUGGGGAGCAAACAGG